Molecule: long non-coding RNA, 1401 nt
Organism: Rhopalosiphum maidis (corn leaf aphid)
Lineage: Eukaryota; Metazoa; Arthropoda; Insecta; Hemiptera; Aphididae
Exons: 3
Source: RefSeq, a predicted model, not a curated record
AGCCCUUCUCGAUCGGCACACUACUUAUCGUCGCGUAUUCGGCAUUUGGUAUUCGAGCAGAACGCUGCCUGCUAAAUCUCCCGUGCAACCUGCCACAACGCUGCAUCCGAAGAACACAGGACCUGCACUGGACACAACCAUCGCCGCCCCGCGGACCCGUCGUUCAAGAUGCCGUCGAAAAAGUGUGAAAUUAUCCGAGGAAUGGUUAUCAUCAAGCGUUAAGGACACUGACAAAAUCGGACAAAUACAUGGACUCGACCGGACCAGGAUCAGGAAAAAUAUCAUGGAUUGUUGAACGCGACGUGUACGACGCGGACACCGCGGCGAUGACUCGGCAACGGAAACCACGUCAUCAAAAUAUAAUUACUUUAAUAAUAAUUGUUAUUAUUAUUAUUGCGAACGAUUUUCUGCAAGUCGGCAGCGUCUUUCCCACUAAUAAUAUUAUUAUGUAGCCGCGCACAAUGAGCAAUAAAAAUUAAUACCACCGGUUCAAAUGGCUCUGUUAAAAUGUCCCGUUUACGAUGGCGUUAUCAGUGUUUAAACGGUUGUUAUUACGAGCCAUUUUGUACGAUACAUACAUAACAUAAUAUAAUAUCAUUACACAUACAUAUCACCACCGCGUAUAUAAUAGCUUGUGUGUGUGUUUUUAUUUCUAGACUUUAUUAUUUUCUUUACAUCGCACCGUUUAAGAUUAUUAUUACUAUUUUUUUUUUUUAUAUUUUUAUUAUUGGUUGUAUACACUUAUUAUUACUAUUAUUAUUAUUAUUAUUAUUAUAUUUACUACGGACAUAAAUCCCGCGUACAAUGAUUUCAAUACGACUAAUUUUUAUAUACUUUUUAUUGUAUUUUAAACGGACAGGUUUAUCGGUUUACUGCGUUUUUAUUUUUAUGUCUGUGUACAUAAUAUACGUAUUAAAACAUUAUAAUAAUAAUAUGUAUACGACGAGAAACAAUAUUCUACACACAUCGAAGUAUGAUAAAUAUUAUCACAACUAUGUUUAUUUAACUAUUUUAAUUGGACUAGAUAUAUUAUUAACAAAAUAUCGUAUUGAAUUAAAUCCUGUCGCUGAAUAGGAGUGUCGCUACGUAGCGCGUAGGUUUAAACUAUAAUAUAGCACCUUAGCCACUUACAAUUUAAAAUUAUAAAAACUACUUUAGGUCUGACUUGUAAACUUAUUAUUUAUAUUUAUAUAUAAUUUCUACUGUUUUUUUUUUUUGUCUAAUUAAUUGUCAUCAUUGUUUUCUUUAUUGCGCGUAAAUAUUUUUUUUAUAUUCAUCGUUUAUCAUUAGUUUUUAUAGCUCAUGCAUGGCUACUAUUCACAAACGAUUAAUUAUAUAUUUUUAUUACCUUAGUAUUUUUAAUACAAAUUAAAACCAUAUACAAUGCUAAUUAUCGUUCGU